GUCAAGAGUGAGUCAGCAUUAUGAACACCAUUCACCUCUUCCAUUCUAGCAUGAAAUAGGGGUGUCACGUUGAGGUCGCAUUUUAAUGCGGGAUUGUUCCUCCAGUGCAAACAUGGACACUCCGGACAACAACGUAAAGACCACAGCAAAUCCAUUAGAAGAAGACAGCCUGCCGUUUCCUUAAACUUGGAGACACAUAUCUAUACCUUUGGCCAUUUUAAGCCAGUCAUUUCCAGAAGUUAUCUCAUCCUGUGAGAAGCCUCCAUUUUACUGAUGUUU
Nerophis ophidion (straightnose pipefish) is the source of this 279-nucleotide long non-coding RNA. RefSeq lists it as uncharacterized. The transcript has 3 exons. Lineage: Eukaryota; Metazoa; Chordata; Actinopteri; Syngnathiformes; Syngnathidae. The record is from RefSeq and is a predicted model, not a curated record.